UGUGGAGAAAAUGGGUCUUCCUCAGAAGUA
RNAcentral lists this non-coding RNA (30 nucleotides) under Rattus norvegicus (Norway rat). Lineage: Eukaryota; Metazoa; Chordata; Mammalia; Rodentia; Muridae. The record is from RNAcentral.